RNAcentral lists this non-coding RNA (25 nucleotides) under Mus musculus (house mouse). The record is from RNAcentral. Lineage: Eukaryota; Metazoa; Chordata; Mammalia; Rodentia; Muridae.
UGGUGCAUGAAAAUACUGUCGUAUG